CACGUAGGGCGCAAGCGUUGUCCGGAAUUAUUGGGCGUAAAGAGCUCGUAGGUGGUUUGUUACGUCUGCUGUGAAAACCUAGGGCUUAACCCUGGGCUUGCAGUGGAUACGGGCAGACUAGAGGUAGGUAGGGGAGAAUGGAAUUCCUGGUGUAGCGGUGAAAUGCGCAGAUAUCAGGAAGAACACCCGUGGCGAAAGCGGCUCUCUGGAACGGUACUGACGCUGAGACGCGAAAGCGUGGGGAGCGAACAGG
RNAcentral lists this ribosomal RNA (253 nucleotides) under uncultured bacterium. RNAcentral's name for it is "partial 16S ribosomal RNA". It matches the Rfam family "Bacterial small subunit ribosomal RNA", at positions 524 to 776 of the family's 1533-position model. The record is from RNAcentral.